AUCAACGCUGGCGGCGUGCCUCAGACAUGCAAGUCGAACGCGAAAGUCCCCUUCGGGGGGCAAGUAGAGUGGCGCACGGGUGAGUAACACGUAGGUAAUCUACCUUUGGAUUGGGAAUAACAACCGGAAACGGUUGCUAAUACCGAAUAAUGCAGCGGCACCUAAUGGUGACAGUUGUUAAAGCGGGGGAUCGCAAGACCUCGCGUCUGAAGAGGAGCCUGCGGCAGAUUAGCUAGUUGGUAAGGUAACGGCUUACCAAGGCGAUGAUCUGUAGCCGGCCUGAGAGGGCGGUCGGCCACACUGACACUGACAUACGGGUCAGACUCCUACGGGAGGCAGCAGUCGGGAAUUUUGGGCAAUGGGGGAAACCCUGACCCAGCAACGCCGCGUGAAGGAUGAAGUAUUUCGGUAUGUAAACUUCGAAAGAAUGGGAAGAAUAAAUGACGGUACCAUUUAUAAGGUCCGGCUAACUACGUGCCAGCAGCCGCGGUAAUACGUAGGGACCAAGCGUUGUUCGGAUUUACUGGGCGUAAAGGGCGCGUAGGCGGCUUGGCAAGUCACUUGUGAAAUCUCCGGGCUUAACUCGGAACGGUCAAGUGAAACUGCCAUGCUAGAGUGCAGAAGGGGCAAUCGGAAUUCUUGGUGUAGCGGUGAAAUGCGUAGAUAUCAAGAGGAACACCUGAGGUGAAGACGGGUUGCUGGGCUGACACUGACGCUGAGGCGCGAAAGCCAGGGGAGCAAACGGGAUUAGAUACCCCGGUAGUCCUGGCCCUAAACGAUGAAUACUUGGUGUCUGGAGUUUUUAUGCUUCGGGUGCCGUAGCUAACGUUUUAAGUAUUCCACCUGGGGAGUACGUACGCAAGUAUGAAACUCAAAGGAAUUGACGGGGACCCGCACAAGCGGUGGAGCAUGUGGUUUAAUUCGACGCAACGCGAAGAACCUUACCUGGACUAGAAUGUGAGGGAAGGGCGUCUAACAGCGUCCGUCCGAGCAAUCGGACCCAAAACAAGGUGCUGCAUGGCUGUCGUCAGCUCGUGUCGUGAGAUGUUGGGUUAAGUCCCGCAACGAGCGCAACCCUUAUUGACAGUUGCCAAUAUUAAGUUAGGAACUCUGUCAAGACUGCCGUUGAUAAAACGGAGGAAGGUGGGGACGAUGUCAAGUCAUCAUGGCCUUUAUGUUCAGGGCUACACACAUGCUACAAUGGAUGGUACAAAACGUCGCAAUCCCGUAAGGGGGAGCUAAUCGCAAAAACCAUUCUCAGUUCGGAUCGGAGUCUGCAACUCGACUCCGUGAAGUUGGAAUCGCUAGUAAUCGCAAAUCAGCAUGUUGCGGUGAAUACGUUCCCGGGUCUUGCACACACCGC
Molecule: ribosomal RNA, 1363 nt
Filed under: uncultured bacterium
Lineage: Bacteria
Description: bacterial SSU rRNA
Rfam family: Bacterial small subunit ribosomal RNA
Source: RNAcentral